This 22-nucleotide non-coding RNA is filed under the name Arabidopsis thaliana (thale cress). The record is from RNAcentral. Lineage: Eukaryota; Viridiplantae; Streptophyta; Magnoliopsida; Brassicales; Brassicaceae.
UUGUUUGGGAAUGCAGCCCCAA